Molecule: unclassified non-coding RNA, 433 nt
Filed under: Hevea brasiliensis (rubber tree)
Lineage: Eukaryota; Viridiplantae; Streptophyta; Magnoliopsida; Malpighiales; Euphorbiaceae
Source: RNAcentral
AUCUUCUUCAUGAUAUAUAAGGCAACGGUUGCAAGUUCAUCUUUACAGAUUAAUUACAGCUUCAAUAUUCUCUACCACCACGGCAGUUACCGGAACCCUAGCCCUAGACCAAAAAUUUUCCUUUUUCCGCUUUGAGAAACUUUGCUCCUGAUUCACGAUGCUUUGUUCUCCCGGUCACUCACCACGCCCCCUCUCAUCCCCAUCUUCAUCUGCAUCUCCAAAUCGCCCAAAUGCUUUCCAAGUCUCUAACUCACCCUCAAUCAGAACACCCGCAAACCCUAGGAAGCGCCCUACAGUUCUGGACGAGGACACCUAUGUUGCAGCGAUCGAGAAAAUCAUCGAACGCGACUUCUUCCCGGACAUCUCGAAACUCCGUGACCGGCUUGAUUGGCUUGAAGCGGUAAAAACUGGCGACCCUAUUCAAAUACGAGAU